This 36-nucleotide ribosomal RNA is filed under the name Zasmidium strelitziae. RNAcentral describes it as "partial 18S ribosomal RNA". The record is from RNAcentral. Lineage: Eukaryota; Fungi; Ascomycota; Dothideomycetes; Mycosphaerellales; Mycosphaerellaceae.
CAAAAGGGACUCCGUAAGGUGACCUGCGGAGGGAUC